This 1026-nucleotide ribosomal RNA is filed under the name Triticum aestivum (bread wheat). RNAcentral's name for it is "partial small subunit ribosomal RNA". The record is from RNAcentral. Lineage: Eukaryota; Viridiplantae; Streptophyta; Magnoliopsida; Poales; Poaceae.
AUGCCCUCCCUCCUCUCCCCCUUCGCCGCCGGCGACUGCUCCGCCGAUAAGUUCGACCCCGACUACCUCUACUUCCUCCGCCACCUUCGCACCGAAGGCAGCUCCUAUGUCCUCGAGCUCCCGCCCGGCGGCGCCUCCCCUGCCCCCGUCAUCAGGUACGAGUCCCCCAUCGCCAUCUCUGACGGCGAAUGCGUCUCGGACCCCUCCCCGGGCGGCGCAAGCGCCAACCGCCGGUCGGAAGAGAGGGACUCGUCGGUGGAGACGCCCCCCUCGUGGAUCGACUCCAUCGUCGACAUCGACGAGGAUUACCGCCUUUUCCUGCACCACACGUGCGUGGUGAAUAACCGCCUGAAGCUCCAGAUGGGGGGCGUCGUUGUGGACUACGAGCCGGACCCGGACGCCGCGCAAUCUGGAGGCAGCAGCGGGAUCGAGGAGCAAUCGGAGAAAGAGGCGGCCGUUGCUUCCUCGGGGGUAGAGGAGCAGGCAGUCGACUCAGAUGUGCCGGUUGUAAUCAUGCCGGAGCCGAACGCCUACGACUGGCGUGCGGAUCCAGCCCCUCGUCAAAGGAUGCAGGGUCAGGAAGAUAUUGGGCACAAGGAUGCUCAGCCUCGCGUUGCUUCGUCACAUAGAUCAGAUGUUAUAUGGCCUCCACAUAUCAACCGUAGGCCAGAUUCAGACUUCAAGCGAAGAUUGAUGGAUGCUCUUCAGAAGCCAUUUAGCCGGAAAGAGUAUAUUAAGCUGUUUGACAUGGCUUCUAUUCGUACUCCUUUAGUGAAGUUGCGACAGGUGCGCAAUGAUGCAAAAUUCUACCCUACCGAGGAGAUGGGCAAUUCAUAUUUUGAUCAUUACCCAGAUCUUGUUGAACAAGUUACAAACACUAGCUUUUCGAAGGGUUUAGCUCUGAUGCGUGGAUUUUUCUUCUGGUUGCAGAAUAGUGCACACGAGGAUCAAUUCAGGCCAUGGAUAGAUGAUCUGAAAGAUCAAGAUGUUAUUCCAUUGAUGGACUUAGAUUACCCAUUGCCUUAG